AUGUUGGGAGCAUCUCUCAUUGUCCUUCUGGGGAUCUGGUGCACAGGAUGCAAUUCCCAGCCUACAGUGAUUCAGGAAUCCUCCAUGUCACCUGCCCCAGGACAGACAGUCAAACUCUCCUGUUCCCUGAGCAGUGGACAAGUAACAUCUUAUGAACAAUCCUGGUAUCAACAGAAAGAAGGAGGUUCUCCAAAAUUCCUUUAUUAUUACUACAGCAGUGCAACCGCAGGCACUGGAGACCUCAGCCGCUUCUCUGCCUCCAAGGAAAGCAGCCAAAAUAAAUGGUAUUUGACCAUCAGGGACAUCCAGCCAGGAGACGAGGCUGAUUAUUACUGUGCUAUGUGGUAUGGUGCUAGUAGUGCGUUCCACAGUGAUACAAACCCAGGAGGAACUGAGACAAAAACCUCCAAGAGAAGAAAGAGCAGCAGCAUUCAGGAGUCCUUUCAGUGA
Non-coding RNA from Pantherophis guttatus, 450 nucleotides. NCBI's taxonomy places the organism in Eukaryota, Metazoa, Chordata, Lepidosauria, Squamata, Colubridae. The record is from the annotation of a RefSeq genome assembly.